This 254-nucleotide unclassified non-coding RNA is filed under the name Hevea brasiliensis (rubber tree). The record is from RNAcentral. Lineage: Eukaryota; Viridiplantae; Streptophyta; Magnoliopsida; Malpighiales; Euphorbiaceae.
AUGGAACUCGGUUUUGGUUUGGUUUGUUUUGAUUGAUCGGUCUCUUACUCCCUGCUCAAAAAUUAAGAAUGAUCGAUGUUUGCCGCCGUCCACUGAUAACGCUAACAGCCUUGGACUCUUUGGCAUUGGGGAAUAGGGAUGGCAUUGGCUAAUGUUCUGGACAUUGGGUGGGGACGACGUUUUGUUAUGCCACGUGGACCUUAUUGCACCCAUAUGUGGCUCUUAAACCUAUGUUUACAUGUGUUUAUUUAAUG